AAAAGAAAAGAAAGAAAACCCAUCAGGAGAGGUUCCAACGUGUGAGAGAGAGAGAGAGAGAGAGAGAGAGAGAGAGAUCAGCCGGUGGAAGAAGGAGAAGAGAAAGGGGAAGUGAGAGCUAGGUUGAAUUGGAAACUUUGUAAGGUAACAAGCCGAUCAAUUGGAGAGAUUCCGAAACUGUAAGUUUGGCGUACCUCGAUCGAUACAAGGUAACAAGCCGAUCAAUUGGAGAGAUUCCGAAACUGUAAGUUUGGCGUACCUCGAUCGAUACAAGGUGAGUGUGUCUGAUAUGGUUCUUCCCAAUAAAAUGUUGCUGUGGUGGUAGCAGGUUGCGUAGAGUGGGUCCACUACCGGUCAUCGUGUUGAGAAGUGUUUGGGCUAGCAUUAGAUGAUGUGGAUGAACGAGUUGGUUGUAGGUAGUAAACUAAAAAGUUGAUUUAUGUAAGUUAUAAAUAAGUCGUUGGUGGAUGUAUUAAAGUGUAAAAUUUUUAAAGUAUUGUAAAACUAUAUUGUUGUUUA
Long non-coding RNA from Rhododendron vialii, 519 nucleotides. RefSeq lists it as uncharacterized. Lineage: Eukaryota; Viridiplantae; Streptophyta; Magnoliopsida; Ericales; Ericaceae. The record is from RefSeq and is a predicted model, not a curated record. The transcript is spliced from 4 exons.